CUGGAAAAAAAGGAGUAAUUAGAAGAAAAGAUGGAAUAAUCUGAGAGAGGGUGGAGAUUUUUGGAGUCAUCACAUGGUAUGUGGAAUUGAAGCCAAGAACUGUGUGUCCUAAUAAUUUCUUUGCUGUUUUUGCUGAUCUCACAGCAAAUUAAAUGAUUUCUCCAACACAUGGGUCAUACACCCCACUUUACACAGAUUGCAGAUUGAAAGCUGGAAUUUUAAGAAUGUGCUUAGGUUUUGUUGACACGUCUGCUCUUGGGAAUGAAUUCCUAAGCACCAGCCUACACUGGCUCAACAGGCUCAACUCUGCACCAGCAAUUUCUCUUGUCAGGAAAGAAAGCACAAUCAAAAAUAUAAGAAGAGAUUGCUCCUCCUUUUGA
RNAcentral lists this long non-coding RNA (380 nucleotides) under Parus major (Great Tit). RNAcentral's name for it is "lncRNA (ENSPMJG00000018131.1)". The record is from RNAcentral. Lineage: Eukaryota; Metazoa; Chordata; Aves; Passeriformes; Paridae.